CCUACGGGAUGCAGCAGUGAGGACUAUUGGUCAAUGGGCGGGAGCCUGAACCAGCCAAGCCGCGUGAAGGAAGAAGGCGCCAGGCGUCGGAAACUUCUUUUGUCGGGGAACAAAGGGCGCCACGUUGGGCGUUGUGAGUGUACCCGAAGAAAAAGCAUCGGCUAACACCGUGCCAGCAGCCUCGGUAAUACGGAGGAUGCGAGCGGUCUCCGGAUUUAUUGGGUUUAAAGGGUGCGGAGGCGGUCCGGAAAGUCAGAGGGAAAAGCCCGGGGCUCAACCCCGGCGAGCCGUUGAAACUGUCGGACUAGAGACGGCGAGAAGUACGCGGAAUGCGCGGUGUAGCGGUGAAAUGCAUAGAUAUCGCGCAGAACUCCGAUUGCGAAGGCAGCGUACCGGCGCCGGACUGACGCUGAGGCACGAAAGCGUGGGUAUCGAACAGGAUUAGAUACCCUGUAGU
RNAcentral lists this ribosomal RNA (457 nucleotides) under uncultured bacterium. RNAcentral's name for it is "partial 16S ribosomal RNA". It matches the Rfam family "Bacterial small subunit ribosomal RNA", at positions 338 to 794 of the family's 1533-position model. The record is from RNAcentral.